RNAcentral lists this ribosomal RNA (465 nucleotides) under Vreelandella stevensii. Its description in RNAcentral is "partial 16S ribosomal RNA". It matches the Rfam family "Bacterial small subunit ribosomal RNA", at positions 338 to 795 of the family's 1533-position model. Lineage: Bacteria; Pseudomonadati; Pseudomonadota; Gammaproteobacteria; Oceanospirillales; Halomonadaceae. The record is from RNAcentral.
CCUACGGGGGGCAGCAGUGGGGAAUAUUGGACAAUGGGGGCAACCCUGAUCCAGCCAUGCCGCGUGUGUGAAGAAGGCCCUCGGGUUGUAAAGCACUUUCAGUGAGGAAGAACGCCUGGUGGUUAAUACCCAUCAGGAAAGACAUCACUCACAGAAGAAGCACCGGCUAACUCCGUGCCAGCAGCCGCGGUAAUACGGAGGGUGCGAGCGUUAAUCGGAAUUACUGGGCGUAAAGCGCGCGUAGGUGGCUUGAUAAGCCGGUUGUGAAAGCCCCGGGCUCAACCUGGGAACGGCAUCCGGAACUAUCAAGCUAGAGUGCAGGAGAGGAAGGUAGAAUUCCCGGUGUAGCGGUGAAAUGCGUAGAGAUCGGGAGGAAUACCAGUGGCGAAGGCGGCCUUCUGGACUGACACUGACACUGAGGUGCGAAAGCGUGGGUAGCAAACAGGAUUAGAUAGCCCAGUAGUC